AUGCCAGUCACAUGUAUAUAUCUCUCUCUCCGUCAGGCUUUCUCUCAGCCGUUCCGAUCUAACCCUAACUUAGCGAGAAAGUCUCCAACUCUCACCAUGGGCGAAUACAAGAUCGAAGAUUUCUCCAAGCCUAUCACACCCGUCGAAGGGGCUAAGACAGGCGUCUUCUGGAACAUUGAUGAUUGCCCGUUCCCUGUUGGUUUCAGUCCAGAUAUGAUCUAUCACCAAAUUGAAUCUGCUCUUAGCGAAUGGUGUAAUGUAGGUAACAUGUCAAUGUGGGCUUAUGUUGAUGAGGAGAAAGGGCAUUGGUCGGGGAAGGGUGAGUUUCUGCGUAAGAAGACGUGGGAAUCCAAAAUCUAUUUCCUUCCAGGAGGGGAUAAACUCUUGAGAGAUGAUAGACUGUCACAUGACAUUCUUUUAUGGCAAAUGGACUCUCCUGUAGACUAUCCAAAUCCAGCAAAUUUGAUCGUAGUCUCAGAUAAAGUUAGAGAUCACACGUACUUAUUCGAAACACUUGGAUGUUUGAAUCAGAGACAUUACAGUGUUAUGUUGGUAACUCCGACUAACCUACCACUAACCCCUGAUUGGCCAGCAUCGCUAUUAGAGGAAGGCGCAUACAGUUUUGGCCAGGAAACUUAAAGUGAAGAUCCUAUUCCGAUGCAGGUGAAGAAACACCUGAGAGGUAGGAAGAUCAGGGCUGGUACUGAUUAUGUGGACUAUCUAGCUGUGGAUGUGCCCAUUUUUGUGUAGCUAUCACAAACUCAAUUUCAAUUGAAUUUCUAUUAUUUUAAACAGAAAAUUCCUUCACUGAUGGUUUGACCCUCUUGAGCAAAAGAAGUUUCAUGAAUUUUAGUCAAGUGGUCAGGACAGGAAAGCACAACAACUAGAAGAAACUACAUAUUAGUUUACAGUAAGUUUGCGUUCAUAUACGAGCAUACCCGACUCUUCGUUGGGUAUAUUGUGUAUGUUUUCUCGUUGAACAUGUGUCUCUUCCUUGAACAUAGAGUCUUUUGGUUGUUUAUAUAUAUAUAUGAGACAUUGCAAAGAGGAGAGAAUCAAUUAACACAUCUAAUUCAGAACAAGAAUGAUUCGAGAGAGAAAGUAAAAACAUUUGUGUGAGAAAAACACAUCUAUGUACACUUAAGGAAGUUUGUGAAACAGAGACACUAGAAUGUAAAAGUCUACGUUGCAUCGAAGCUUCAUCGGACGUCUGAUUACCGCUUCGAAACCGGAAUCAGAAUCGGAAACUUGUGAAAGCUUACGGAAUUUUGCUUCCAAAACGCUUCCAAACUAUUCUCUUUAAAAAACACGUUAGAAACUUAUGAUUCCGUUUUGGACGUUUUCGUUUUGGAAGCUUCCGUUCUUUAAAAAAAAAUACAAUAUCAUAUAUCAAUAAAAAAAUAUAAUCAUAGUAUAUGUUUAUAAAUUAAGGAUAGCGAUUAUUACCAUAUCUUCUAGGUUUUAAUAUUAUUAUCAUUUUUCAGAAUAAGAAUAAUAAAUUAGCAUAUAAAAAAAGAAUUUUUUUUUUUUUGAUAAAUUGUUGAUCUCUUACUGAUAUGAUUUUAUUGGUAGUAAAGACGUACACGUUUGUUAAGGAAGGCGAUCUCUCAUCCGUAGCUAUAAAACCAACAAAGGCCCUCCCUCACCCGACCUAACCCUAACGUAGCGAGCAAGUCUCCAAUUCGUAACAAUGCCCCAAGGCAUGAGCGAAUAUUUCUCCGGCAAUUGGACAUUCGUCUUCUGGCUCACGGAUGACUACCCAGUCCCUGAUGGUGUCGAGAUUAAUUCUAUCUAUAAUACUAUCCACGCAGCUCUUUAUCAAAUGGGUUUUGAUAAGGUGCAGCCAAUCCGGAAGUAUUGUGACAACGACAAACAGUAUGAUGUUCCGCCUGCUAAACAAAUGGUUAGGGAAAUGCUUGCUCUAGCAGGAUCGAUGUGUGAUGACCCAGUAACUUUAGUGGUCAUCGCAAAACAAAGCACAAACCCUGACAUGAACAGGGUUCUUCACUGUUUGAACUCCAGAAACAACCCUGUUCUCGUGGUCGAGCCGCCUGAUGAUGACACCGCGCGAGAUAGUGUAUUUCGUUCUGUCGACUCGUUUGUUGAGUGUACACAUGUUGUAGGUGGAGGAAAGACUACAAGGCCACAAAGUUGUUGUUAUGAUAUUGAUUCUGAUUCUGAUUCUGAUGCUGAUCCUGAUCCUGAUCCUGAUCCUGAGGAGGAUGCUUAUCGGUGGACGAAAAGAAUGAUUAUAAGCUGGAACGCUAAAAUAUUAAUGUCCUCCAGUGAUUGUGGUUCCUGUUAAGUAUUUGGGGUUAAUGUAUGAUGUUUCAUCUUUGUUCUGUUAAACUCUGUUUUGGGUUCAAAUGAUUUGCAGCUAUUUCUAAGCUCUUCUCAACCUAAUGCAUUCUUUAAUUUCUCCAAGAAUUUUCAGAGGGCACUUCACAAAAUGUCUUUAUAAUAGAAGAAAAUAAAUAUUGGGCAUGGUUAACUUGGA
Molecule: RNA transcript, 2497 nt
Organism: Brassica napus (rape)
Lineage: Eukaryota; Viridiplantae; Streptophyta; Magnoliopsida; Brassicales; Brassicaceae
Exons: 5
Source: RefSeq, a predicted model, not a curated record